Molecule: unclassified non-coding RNA, 500 nt
Filed under: uncultured Glomus
Lineage: Eukaryota; Fungi; Glomeromycota; Glomeromycetes; Glomerales; Glomeraceae
Description: SSU rRNA
Rfam family: Eukaryotic small subunit ribosomal RNA
Source: RNAcentral
CCAAUAGCGUAUAUUAAAGUUGUUGCAGUUAAAAAGCUCGUAGUUGAAUUUCGGGACCAAUCUGCCGGUCGUGCCUCCGGUACGCACUGGUUUUAUUGGUUUCUCCCUUCUGACGAACCAUGAUGUCAUUAAUUUGGUGUCAUGGGGAAUCAGGACUGUUACUUUGAAAAAAUUAGAGUGUUUAUAGCAGGCUCACGCUUGAAUACAUUAGCAUGGAAUAAUGAAAUAGGACGUUUGACCCUAUUUUGUUGGUUUCUAGGAUCGACGUAAUGAUUAAUAGGGAUAGUUGGGGGCAUUAGUAUUCAAUUGUCAGAGGUGAAAUUCUUGGAUUUAUUGAAGACUAACUACUGCGAAAGCAUUUGCCAAGGAUGUUUUCAUUAAUCAAGAACGAAAGUUAGGGGAUCGAAGACGAUCAGAUACCGUCGUAGUCUUAACCAUAAACUAUGCCGACUAGGGAUCGGAUGAUGUUAAUUUUUUAAUGACUCAUUCGGCGCCUUGCG